GACGAACGCUGGCGGCGUGCUUAACACAUGCAAGUCGAACGAUGAAGCAGAGAGACGCGGACUUCGGUUCAAAUUUCACUUCGGAUUAGUGGCAGACGGGUGAGUAACGCGUUAUCAACCUACCUCUUACAAAGGGAUAUCCUCGGGAAACCGUGAUUAAUACCAUAUGACACAUUCAUAAGUCAUCUUAAGACUGUUAAAGCUACGGCGGUAAGAGAUGGGCUCGCGUCCCAUUAGCUAGCUGGUGAGGUCACGGCCCCGCAAGGCGACGAUGGGUAACCGGGCUGAGAGGGUGAACGGUCACAUUGGAACUGAGACACGGUCCAAACUCGUACGGGAGGCAGCAGUGGGGAAUCCUGCAAAAUGGAGGGAACUCUGAUGCAGCGACGCUGCGUGAGCGAUGAAGGAAUUCGUUACGUAAAGCUCUGUUAUAUGGGAAGAAAAGGACUGUACCAUAGGAGAAAGCCCCGGCUAAAUACGUG
RNAcentral lists this ribosomal RNA (482 nucleotides) under uncultured bacterium. RNAcentral describes it as "partial 16S ribosomal RNA". It matches the Rfam family "Bacterial small subunit ribosomal RNA", at positions 28 to 507 of the family's 1533-position model. The record is from RNAcentral.